GUAGGUGGCAAGCGUUGUCCGGAAUUAUUGGGCGUAAAGCGCGCGCAGGCGGUUCUUUAAGUCUGAUGUGAAAGCCCACGGGCUCAACCGUGGAGGGUCAUUGGAAACUGGAGAACUUGAGUACAGAAGAGGAAAGGGGAAUUCCACGUGUAGCGGUGAAAUGCGUAGAGAUGUGGAGGAACACCAGUGGCGAAGGCGGCUUUCUGGUCUGUAACUGACGCUGAGGCGCGAAAGCGUGGGGAGCAAACAGGAUUAGAUACCCUGGUAGUCCACGCCGUAAACGAUGAGUGCUAAGUGUUAGGGGGUUUCCGCCCCUUAGUGCUGCAGCUAACGCAUUAAGCACUCCGCCUGGGGAGUACGGCCGCAAAGGCUG
Molecule: ribosomal RNA, 373 nt
Filed under: uncultured organism
Description: partial 16S ribosomal RNA
Rfam family: Bacterial small subunit ribosomal RNA
Source: RNAcentral